AACAGGAGGAAUGAGGUUUAACACUUAAAUACUCCGGAUACUAGUACAUUGUGGCAAAACUCAAAUGGCAACGUAUUUACACUGAUACAUUCUUAUACUUACAGCUAUGCAUACACACACUUUCAUACUCACAUCCAUACACGAACCCCACCUUCAAUAGGUCUGAUCACAUACAAGGCCCCUGGUUUGGCCUCAUCUCCCUCACACUGGAGAGGCAAUCGAGGAGGCUACUUCCUUACAUCAAACUAGGCGUCGGUGCGGAGCUGAUGUGCUCUGGCAUUUCCAUCACAGAGCGUACUCUCCAAUUCUUACCCUCUCACUGUUAAUUCUCGUCCUCUGUCUACCUUGCGCCUUAUUUCUCUAUUUUUAUCUGUUUAUGUAGCCUAUCUUCCUUGGUCAUGCAUGUCUGUGAUAGAGACAGAGAUAAUAAGACUUUAUGGCAGACAACCGAGUUCUUAGAAUCAAAACAGCACUGUAGAACAGCGUGUAUAGUGUUAAUUGCAGUGUAGCCUAGAUUGCCUCUGGCUAUGUCAGAGGGAAUGUUUCUGUACUUGUAUCAGUACAUUUUAAGCUAAUAACAUAGACCUAACAAUUAUUGUAAAUGUGUGUUUACCUUGUGUUAUAAUAACCUAUGUAUAAUAUAAACGGUAGGACUGACUUCAUUCAUUAUAGGCUCCUGGUUGUAGUUAAUUACAUGUGAAAGCCCACAACAGCAUUGCUGUUAGAUGGCUUCAUUAAUUUAGUUAGCUAUACUAAAUUAAUAAUAGGCUAAAACUUGUCAUGUAUGGCUAGCUUUAUUCAAAAUAGCAGAACAUACCUGCCAGGCUACAAGUCAGCUCUCCCGCGCUGCCUCUCUUUACGCGAAAAUCGUCAUGCGGACUUGUGCCCUCGUGGAGAUUCAGUGCGGUGAAUAAAUAAUACUGAGGUAUUAAUUUUGUAUACUUCACUAGGCUAAAAGCAGCGUUUACUCGUUCAUUCGUGUCGGUCAACCACUGAAAACAUAAACGUGUCAAACUUUUGUCUGCCUCUUAUCCAUUUGGUGGAAUUUCAACCACGCUCCGGUCUCCGCGUCCCACGUCUCCUCCCAGUUCCCACCCCUCCUCGUGCACUUCUCCAAUCCCGCCUCUCAGUCACACAACAAGAGGAUAAUGGUGGUGUCUCGUUCCCUUAGCAACCAGUUGCUAUAGUAAUAUUCCUCGGUAAUUCAAAGUGUUGAUGAUGAUGAUGAAGAGUCCAGAUGUAUGACCACGACAGUUAGAUUAGGCUAGUUAUUCAAUCAAACACAUGUAUUUUACAAUUCGACCCUUAACCUAGGAAGAAACGUGUAUCUCAUAAACGUAUGUGUGCUGUUGCAGGUAGCCUACUCCAAAAAACAGAGGAUUCGCGAAAUCCACUUUUUGCAUAGUUGUAGGAGCUCCUCAGCAUUUUAGCUGCUGCACAUCUCGCAUUUCCCAACAACUUUACAGUAACUAGACGUUUGUUUCUAUGCGAAACGGCUGCGGCGCUUUUAGGAGUAGCCUUAGUUACAGCCCUUCCCGUACCGCGACCAAAAGAAAGCUCUACACACAUGCAAGAGGCAUUUCUCACUCAAUACCGAAAGUGGAUUGAAUCUUUUUCUGAAUAUUCUCUGUUUUUUGGAGUUCCACCUGCAACUGCACACAGGUGUUCAUACGAGACAUCGAAUCGAGAACAAAGAAAGUAUCGCCAAGGACAAGUAUGUGGAUGAGGAGGUUGGGCACCGGCCCUGUCUGGCUUUAAUCCCUUGGUCUGGACCUCUGUGGGUUCCCAGAUUUGCACAAUUGAGCAGCACAUUUUCAUCUCUCGUCCUGGCACGAUGGUAUGGGAUGAACUGUCCUUUCAGCUUGAAGAGGUAGACAUUCACCUGCAGGUUCAGCAGCAGCCCUGUCUGGCUUUAAUCUCUUGGUGUGGACCUCCGUGGGAUUCAAAUGCUCCUGUCAAACUGCAGCCAAUUUAUAACCUUCCCAUGCUGGGAGGAUGCUGGUGAGAGAGCUGGCAGUGCUAAACACACAGAUUUUCACAGUGGAGCAACCCGUUUAUUAUCUGUUUCACUCCUGCUAGGAGGAUGGUAUGGGAGGAACUGUCCGCUCAAAAUGAACAGUAUGUGGAUGAGGAGUUUGGACAGUGGACCUGUCUGGCUUUAAUCCCUUGGUCUGGACCCUUGUGUGUUCCUAUCUCCCCUGCCUUCUCCAAGGCCAAACCAGUCUACUACCUCACCCUUGCUGGGAGAAUGCUAGUAACAGAACUUGCAGUGUUAAACACACAGCCAAAUAGUGAAGACUCCUUUUCCUUACGAGAAGUUGCAGCUGGUUGAGAACUGGGCAAAAUUAAGAGGACAUGCAUCACCUGUGCAUUGUGAGGGGAGUGGAGAAACAGCUGUGGUGGAGCAGAGUCAUCCAGGAAAACGUCCUGGACCCAUGGGUGGUCUUCAACAACAAGGAGGUGACUGGUAUUAAGGUGCAGUCAAGCACUUUCUCACUUUCAUUUCACAAAAGUGGCAAAUGUCCAUUUACCUAUUUGAAUAAAUACAUGUUGACAGAAAAUGAAAUGAUACAUUCUAAUCUCUUGCCUCAUUUUUAUUUCCUUGGUAGAAGGAUCCAUGGCCUUGUCAAGAGGAGGUCAGAGUUCACCUAUUAUGAGGACGCCCAGGUUUAUUUCAGAGUUUGGUUGAGGGGCUCUCAAUAUGGUGGUUUUCAGUGUUGGGCUUGCAGUGUCACAUGUUGUGUUAAACAGCACGUGGAUAUCUCCACCACGGUGGAGCGGUUCCAGGAGAGGGGGGAUGAGAUGAUGGCAUAUCAACUCUCUACCUCUGACAUCAUCACCACCCCUCAUGAGCCUUCCUUCCCCAAUGAUUCUCUGCCACCCCCUCCGCCUCCCCUUUUCCCUUGUUAUUCCCCUCCCAGUCCGCCUCCACCUUACCACUCCACCCAGGACCGGGACCAGGCCCCUGACAGCACUCCUCAGGUAAAACUCUUUCUACAGUCAAUAACCCUUUUUUUCAUUUGUACUUGUGUGUACAGGUGUGUCUAAGUGUCAUUAUUUUGGUAUUGACAGGUUUGUAUUGUCUGUCAAGGGUCAAGUUGUUAGGUCAAGAUGAAAGUAUUGUCAUGAUGUCGCUGAAUGUUUUGUCUGCUUCAGUUGAUGUUGCAGGUGAAAUGCCGUUUAGUAGAGUUGAAGUUAAUGUGAUGUCUGUUUUAGGAGUUGAGGGGGAGUUUGUGGAGGAGCAAAAUAAUGUUGCAGUGGCGGGGUUACUUUGCAAACCAAGGGAAAACCAACUUCUCUCUGAGGCUAGCCGGUAUCUGACGUGGAGACUAUGACAUCCGCAGACAGUACCUCCCUCAAUUACCUCACACACGCUGGGAGGAUGGUGUUGAGCGGACUGUCCGAGCUCAACCAGCAGCUAACCAAUUUCAUAAUUAUAGUUCAUCAGACCAGAUAUAUAGUUCCCACUGGGCACAGGUGUCAUUUCAAUGUCUGGUUUUGAUUUACAUUUGGUUGAGUUGUCAACUAAUGUGAAUUCAAUGUGAAAUCCCACCCAAACAUUUACGUAAUUAGAUUUAGGUUAAAAGUUGGGUGAAAAUGUCACGUCCUGACCAGUAUAAGGGGUUAUUGGUUAUUGUAGUUUGGUCAGGACGUGGCAGGGGGUAUUUGUUUUAUGUGGUUCAGGGUUUAUUGGGAUAUGUAUUUAUGUAAGAGGGGUGUUUGUUUUAUGUGUUCCGGGGUGUUUGGGUAAUGUUCUUGUUUUGUAUUUCUAUGGUUUUCUAUGUUGUGUAUUUCUUUGUUGGCCUGGUAUGGCUCUCAAUCAGGAACAGCUGUACAUCGUUGUUUCUGAUUGGGAGUCAUACUUAGGUAGCCCUUUUUUCACCUGUGGUUUGUGGGAAGUUGUUGUUGCAUAGCUGUGUGUAGCCUGCAAUACUGUUCGUUAAGUGUUCUAAAUAAAGUUAAGAGGAGCACUCAACCCGCUGCGCCUUGGUCCAUUACGUACGACAGCCGUUACAGAAAAGACGAAAUUUCCUUACGUUGAUGACUUCUUUCAAAUCCAAUCAGUUUUCCACAUUGAUUGAACAUCAUCACAUUUACAUUUUCUAUUGAUGUGACAUGGAAACAACAUUGAUUCAACCUGUUUUUGCACGGUGGGUCACCUUUAGGCAGUGAUUCCUAGGGUUUAGUUGAAAAGUUUCAACGUCAUACAAGCCAAACAGAGGUCCUCUGAAUUACAAACCUGAAUCUUUGAGUUUAUGAUAAAAUGAAGGAAUUUUAUGAUUGUUUUGUUUUCAGGAUGUGAGGCUGUUUCAGCAGGUGUACGACCUCUUGGGGAGCUUCAUUAAUGAGCCAGCAAACGGAGCGACCUGAG
RNAcentral lists this long non-coding RNA (4372 nucleotides) under Salmo salar (Atlantic salmon). RNAcentral's name for it is "lncRNA (ENSSSAG00000091911.1)". Lineage: Eukaryota; Metazoa; Chordata; Actinopteri; Salmoniformes; Salmonidae. The record is from RNAcentral.